GACGAACGCUGGCGGCGUGCUUAACACAUGCAAGUCGAACGGGCCUUGUCCCCUUUUUUUUGGGGGUGGGGUUAGUGGCGAACGGGUGAGUAACACGUGAGUAACCUGCCCCCCACUUCUGGAUAACCGCUUGAAAGGGUGGCUAAUACGGGGUGUUCUGGCCUGCUCGCAUGGGUGGGUUUGGAAAGAUUCGACCGGUUUUGGUUGUUUUGGUGGGGGAUGGGCUCGCGGCCUAUCAGCUUGUUGGUGGGGUGAUGGCCUGCCAAGGCUUUGACGGGUAGCCGGCCUGAGAGGGUGGGCGGUCACACUGGGACUGAGACACGGCCCAGACUCCUACGGGAGGCAGCAGUGGGGAAUAUUGCGCAAUGGGCGCAAGCCUGAUGCAGCGACGCCGCGUGAGGGAUGGAGGCCUUCGGGUUGUGAACCUCUUUCGCCAGUGAAGAAGGUCCUGCUCUUUGUGGUGGGGUUGACGGUAGCUGGGUUAAUGAAGCGCCGGCUAACUACGU
This 506-nucleotide ribosomal RNA is filed under the name uncultured bacterium. Its description in RNAcentral is "partial 16S ribosomal RNA". It matches the Rfam family "Bacterial small subunit ribosomal RNA", at positions 28 to 506 of the family's 1533-position model. The record is from RNAcentral.